Molecule: ribosomal RNA, 833 nt
Filed under: Hexelasma aureolum
Lineage: Eukaryota; Metazoa; Arthropoda; Thecostraca; Balanomorpha; Bathylasmatidae
Description: partial 16S ribosomal RNA
Rfam family: Archaeal large subunit ribosomal RNA (bases 337-581)
Source: RNAcentral
GAUUAAUUAGAUUUAUUUAGGUGUGAAAUGCUAUUCGUUUUUGUUUAUAUCUAGUAACUUUAGAAAUAAAUUUAGUUUAGGUUAUUAAGAAGUAGUUGCUUUUUUUAAAAUCUUAUAUUUUAAGGGAUAAGCUUUAAAAUUAAUUUAUAAGGAAAGAAAUAUUUUUGAUUUUUUAGUAGGCUUGGAAUUGGCCAUAAGAUAGUGUUAUAAGAUAAAAGGUUAGAAGUAGGAUUUAUUAUUCUUUUGGGGUUAUAAAGUUAAUUAUAAAAUUAUAUGAUUAUUGAAAAUAUGAUAGCAUAAGUAGAAAAAAAAUGGAAUUUUUUUUUGUAUUAAAUAGUUAAUAAAAGUUAUAGUAAAAGAACUCGGCAAAUAGGAUUUCCGAAUGUUUAACAAAAACAUUUCUUCUUACAGAAGGGAAGUAAGACCUGCUCACUGAGUAUUUAAAGAGCCGCAGUAUUUUGACUGUGCUAAGGUAGCAUAAUCAUUAGUCUUUUAAUUGGGGACUGGUAUGAAUGGUUUAACGAGAAAUCAACUUUUUUUAUUAUAAGAAUUGAAUUUAAUUUUUUAGUGAAAAAGCUAAAAUUAUUCAGAAAGACGAGAAGACCCUAUAGAGUUUUAUAUUUAAAAGAAAUUUUUUCGUUUAGGUUUUUUAGGAAGAAUUUUUUUUAUGGUAUUUAGUUGGGGCGACGUUUAGAUAAGGAAAACUCUUUAUUAAUAAAACUUUAAUAAAAGUAUAGUAUGAUCCUAUAAUAAAGAUUAAAAGAAAAAAUUACCUUAGGGAUAACAGCGUAAUCUUUUUUGAGAGUUCUAAUCGACAAAAAGGUUUGCGACCU